GUGGGGAAUCUUGCGCAAUGGGCGAAAGCCUGACGCAGCCAUGCCGCGUGAAUGAUGAAGGUCUUAGGAUUGUAAAAUUCUUUCACCGGGGACGAUAAUGACGGUACCCGGAGAAGAAGCUCCGGCUAACUUCGUGCCAGCAGCCGCGGUAAGACGAAGGGGGCAAGCGUUGCUCGGACUUACUGGGCGUAAAGGGCGCGUAGGCGACCAGCUUAGUCAGAGGUGAAAGCCCAGGGCUCAGCGUUGGAAUUGCCUUUGAUACUGGCUGUAUUGAGGUGGGUAGAGGUGAGUGGAACUCCGAGUGUAGAGGUGAAAUUCGUAGAUAUUCGGAAGAAAACCAGUGGCGAAGGCGACUCACUGGCCCAAUACUGACGCUGAGGCGCGAAAGCGUGGGGAGCAAACAGGAUUAGAAACCCGUAGUCC
Molecule: ribosomal RNA, 423 nt
Filed under: uncultured bacterium
Lineage: Bacteria
Description: partial 16S ribosomal RNA
Rfam family: Bacterial small subunit ribosomal RNA
Source: RNAcentral